RNAcentral lists this ribosomal RNA (373 nucleotides) under uncultured bacterium. RNAcentral describes it as "bacterial SSU rRNA". It matches the Rfam family "Bacterial small subunit ribosomal RNA", at positions 30 to 408 of the family's 1533-position model. The record is from RNAcentral.
CCUGAACGCUGGCGGCGUGGCUAAGACAUGCAAGUCGAACGGGUGUAGCAAUACACCAGUGGCGGACGGGUGAGUAAUGUAUCGCUAACGUGCCCUGGAAUCUGAGAUAGCCAAUCGAAAGGUUGGGUAAUACCAGAUGAAAUAUCCUUAUCGCAUGAUGAGGAUCUCAAAGGAGCAAUCCGGUCUGGGAGCGGGCGAUAUCGUAUCAGCUAGUUGGUGAGGUAACGGCUCACCAAGGCGACGACGCGUAGCCGGGCUGAGAGGUCGGCCGGCCACAUUGGGACUGAGACACUGCCCAGACUCCGUACGGGGGCUGCAGUAACGAAUCUUCCGCAAUGCACGAAAGUGUGACGGAGCGACGCCGCGUGUAGGA